AGGCGGGGCAACAAAGCCUGUGGCCGAUGUGGCGCUCCUCGGCCCGCGCUUCAGUGGUUAUGACAGUGUUCGCUCUAAGGGGAGAAGGAAUGUGUGACCAUUUCCAACGGUUAACUUGCAUUCCCCAGAUAGUUUGGAUGAGUUACAACCUAAAUCUGCAAACUCAAUACAGCCAGACCCUGGGAAGUGACUCUCUCCAAGCCUCCUGUACAAGUCCCAGGAAAAGAGCCUGUUUUCCCUUGGACAUAGAUAGUGUCUCGCUAUGUUGCCCACGCUGGUCUGGAAUUCCUGGACUCAAGGCCUCUUCCUGCCCUCAGACUUCCAAAGUGUUAGGAUUACAGGGUGAGUCACCACGCCCAGCCAGUGUGAAUUUUCUAAUGCUGAGUAAGUUGUGAUCCAGAAGUAAAUGUAUCUGCAAGCUGAUUUAAAUUGUAGAUUUUCUCUUCAUUGCAUAUUUUCUGAUGUUGAAUAAAGUCUGAGUAUUAACUAAAGUUUUUGCUUCUUAAAUAUGUAAGAAUUGUCCUCAAAAUCUCUAUUCUUGAGCACAGUAGUAAAAAUAUUUUUACAUACAUUGUAUUUCAAGGGUUCUGCAUAAGCAACCUUGUUUUAUUGUGACAAUUUAUUUGGGAAUUGUAUCAAAUAUAUAAUACUGAGAUGUUCUCAUUCCUUUUGUGAAAAUACUUUUGUUUAAAAACCACUGCCUUCAAAUGAAAACCACUAGGUUUGUUAUGCUUGCCUCAUCUUUUCUCGGUGUUUUUCUUUCAUUUUUUAAAAAUACAUGUCUUUCUUUUUUAUACCUAAAACAGUGGGUUUUUAAAAUGUGAUAUGUGUAUGCGUUGUAUAAUGGUUACCACAAUCAACUAAUACAUCCAUCACCAUCCAUACUGUACCUUAGAUCUGCAGAACUUGUUCAUCGUAGAAUGUUUUUACCUUUUAGGUCAGACGUGGUGGCUCACGUCUGUAAUCCUUGCACUUUGGGAGGCCAAGGUGGGUGGAUUGCCAGAGCUCGGGAGUUCAAGACCAUCCUGGGAAACAUAGUGAAACCCUGUCUCUACUAAAAAUACAAAAAAUUACCCACGUGUGGUGGUGCGCACCUGUAGUCCCAGUUACUUGGGAGGCAGAGGCACGAGAAUCAUUUGAACCUGGGAGGCAGAGGUUGCAGUGAGCUGAGAUCGUGCCGCUGCACUCCAGCCUGGGCGACAGAGCAAGACUCUGUCUCCAAAAAAAAAAAAGAGUGUUUUUAUUUUUUGACCAACAUCUCUCCAUUUCCUGUCUCCCACUCCUGCAUCCCCAGUCCUUGGUAACCACUGUUCUACUCUCUGUUUCUAUGAGUUCAACUUUUUAAGAUUUCACCUUUAAGUGAGAUAAUGCAGUAUUUGUCAUUCUGUGUCUAGUUUAUUUCAUUUAGCAUACUAUCUUCCAGGUUCCUUUUUCCCUCUGUGUCUCAAGUCCACCUUUGCAUUGUCACUUUCUUUUCUGAAAUGAAAAUGGUAUUGUGGCUAUUACCUAGCUAGAUACCAACUAUGGGCUUUGUAGUAUCUGGAUUAGCUGUAAUGUACAUGUGAAUGAUGACUAGUAAAAUAUAUAUAGUAGGAAAAAUGAUGCAAUUCAAAAAGCAAGAACACAAGUAUAAAUAAGCCUAAGAAGGUUGGACAUCAUCUAUAUAAAGGAAAAUAAACUGUACUCCUUAGUGAAGACUUAAUACUGUAAAACCUGGCCGGGCACGGUGGCUCACGCCUGUAAUCCCAGCACUUUGGGAGGCCGAGGCGGGCAGAUCAUGUCAGGAGAUCGAGACCAACCUGGCUGACAUGGUGAAACCCCGUCUCUACUAAAAAUAUAAAAAAAUUAGCCGGGCAUGGUAGCGGGUGCCUGUAGUCCCAGCUACUCGGGAGGCUGAGGCAGGAGAAUGGCAUGAACCCAGGAGGCAGAGCUUGCAGUGAGCCGAGAUCACGCCACUGCACUCUAGCCUGGGCAAGAGCGAGACUCCGUCUCAAAAAAAAAAAAACCGAAAUUGUCCCUAAGCCUAAUUGAUAGAUUUAAGGCAAUUUAACCAAUAUGCUAAAUGGGAUCAGGGGCCUAUAGUACAAUUAUACUUCAUUUUAAUUGGCAGAAAAAAUAUAUGAACAACUAAGAGUAUUUGGUGGAUAGAGGUAACAUGGGAAGACUCAUCUUACAAGAUAUUAGAGGGCAUUAUAAACUAAAGUAAAUAAUGUGGCAUAGAGCAGAAUUAGAUCACUGAAACAAAAAAAUCCAGAAUCAGAAUAUAUGGAAUGUGGAGUCCUGAUAAGUAAGCAACAAGAAGGAAGGGGUCCCAGGUGAGAGAGAACAAUUGUUCUAUAGAUGGCUAAUUGCAGACAACCUGCUGGCACACAUCCUGUUCCCAGAUACCUUGUUUUGCAUGUGGCCUUUCCAGCACAACCUUAUAAAACUUAAAACCUCCAGCCCCUGCCUCUCAGACAGCCUCUUCUCUGCUGUGCUGCCCAUUGAACCCUUACAACGUAUCUUCAAACUUUCUCUGAUAAAUCUGCCUUUCUUUACCUAUGACUGUUUUGGCAAAAUUCCUUUACUGUCCACAACACCAUCCCCACUCAGUUGUACCCAAGACAGGGAAGACUAAAUGUCUGACGUUUACCUUAAAAAGUAUGAAAAAAUAAGUUGAGAGGGGCCAAGCAUGGUGGCUCACGCCUAUAAUCCCAACACUUUGGGAGGCUGAGGUGGGAGGAUGGCUUGAACCUAGGAGUUUGAGACCAGCCUGGGCAACAUAGUAAGACCUCAUCACUACCAAAAAAAAAAAAAAAAAUCUGGGCAUGGUGGUGUGUGCCUGUAGUCCCAGCUACUUAGGAAGCUAAGGUGGGAGAGUCACUUGAGCGCCAGAGCUUUGAGGCUGCAGUGAGGCUUGAUCAUGCCACUGCACUCCAGCCUGGGCAACAGGGUGAGACCCUGCUGCAAAAAAAAAUUAUUAUAAACCUACUUAUGCUAAGUUAUAAUGGUUGACAAAAACGUCAGUAGAAGGCAGAGUUCCAAUGUAUAUCCAUGUAUGUAUUGAAAAUUAAAGGUGUUUUCAGUUUGUGAAAAUUGACAGGAUUGAUGUGAUAUAAAUCUGUAAGGAAAAAAUCCUGGACCCCUACAUAUUAUAUAUAAUGACAAAUUCCAAGUGGAUUAAAAUUAAAUAUGAAAAAUAAUAAAAUAUAUACGGGCUGGGUGUGGUGGCUCACGCCUAUAAUCCCAGCACUUUGAGAGGCCGAGGCAGGUGGAUCACGAGGUCAGGAGAUUGAGACCAACCUGGCCAACAUGGUGAACCCCUGUCUCUACUAAAAAUACAAAAAUUAGCUGGGCGUGGUGGCACCUGCCUGUAGUCCCAGCUACUCGGGAGGCUGAGGCAGAAGAAUCGCUUGAACCCGGGAGGUGGAGGUUGCAGUGAGCCGAGAUGAUGCCACUACACUCCAGCCUGGUGACAGAGUGAGACUCUGUCUCAAAAAUAAAUAAAUUAUAUAUAUAUGAAUAUUAUAUAACAUCAUGAUGGAGCAUAAACCAGAAGGACAACCCUGAAGCCAUAAAGUAAAUCCUAGACUUCAUUUAAAAAUGUAUAUAUAUUGGAGACAGUGUCACUCUGUCACCCAGGCUGGAUUGCAGUGGCAUGAUCUCAGCUCACUGCAACCUCUGCCUCCCAGGUUCAAGGGAUUCUCCUGCCUCAGCCUUCUGAGUAGCUGGGAUUACAGGCAUGUGCCACCACACCCAGAUAAUUUUGUAUUUUUAGUAGAGGUGGGGAUUCUCCAUGUUGGUCAGGCUGGUCUGGAACUCCCGACCUCAGGUGAUCCGCCUGCUUUGGCCUCCCAAAGUGCUGGGAUUACAGGCGUGAGUCACCGCGACCGGCCGGUUUUAGGUAUUCUUUAGAUGACAGUUGGUUGAGAGAGUUAAGCUGUUGUCUGAAGACAUGAAGUCAGUAGAAAGGAAUGCUUGAGUUAAGAUAAGGGGGUUAUGGGGGCUGAGGACCUUGUUAUGUAGAUGAAGGUUCCUAAGUAGCAGCCCUCAGAGAGAAUAGAUGGUAAAUGUCUCUUUCAGACCUUAAAGACAUCAGACUGGCAGUUAAUCUCUCCUAGAUCUGGAAAAGGCCUAGAAAGGGAAGGCCUGGGUGCAUUAAUGGAGAUUCUCUACCAAUGCAAAUUUCCACUGCAAAAGGCAGCUUUGCAGAGUCACUUCAAUGUGUUGGCCCUGUGGCAGCCAUUUUAAAAUAUGUCAAAGAAAUAUAUUUUGGGAUAAAAUAAUUUGGUUUCCUUCAGUGUCUGCUAUCUAUCAUGUGAUGCUAUACCAGAGUCAGGUUGGAAAGUAAGCCACAUUGUGUCAGGUUAAUUUUAAAAAUCGAAUUAGAUUUUUAUAGUUUGUAGGGCAUGACUCCCCAGACCCCUUAGAUAGGAAUUUCAAGAUCAGAGUUUAGUCCUCAUGCCAUAGGAAAUCAAAAGACAAGUUAUAGACUGGGAAGAAUAUUUGCAACACUUAAGAAGAGAGGUGAUAUUGAAACUGCCUUUGCAAAAAUUUUAACAGUGAGAAAAUUAUAACAGUGAAAGAGAUCUGAUCCAACCAACCCCCAUCUUGCCUUUAAACUCUAAACUGCCCUUGGUCAUCCCUGGGCAUGGGCCAAGCUAACUGGGGGAAAUGCAGUUUGCAGUUUAGAUGAUAAUAGCCCUUCCCCAAAACUAAAGCACCUUUGUAAAACUAAUGAGGCCGGGCACAGUGGCUCACCCCUGUAAUCCCAGCACUUUGGGAGGCCAAGGUGGGUGGAUCACCUGAAGUCAGGCAUUCAAGACCAGCCUGACCAAUAUGGUGAAACCCCGUCUCUACUAAAAUUACAAAAAUUAGCCGGGCGUGGUGGCCGGUGCCUGUAGUCCCAGCUACUCAGGAGGCUGAGGCAGGAGAAUCGCUUGAACCAGGGAGGCAGAGGUUGCAGUGAGCCGAGAUAGUGCCACUGCACUCCAGCCUGGGCAACAGAGCAAGACUCAAUCUCAAAAAAAAAAAAAAGAAAGAUGAAAGGGGCCUGAAUUUUGCUAAGAUGUAGGUGGAGUUAAAUGAUUAAUGGCCAUUGUUCCAGAGACCACAAGAUUUGCAACUUCCCCUGUUAAUCCUGUAAAUAACAUCACUAUUGUAGAACCUAAGAUUGGCCUUUUGAGAUGUCUUUUCAGGUUUUUGCAUUUAUGGUGACCGGAUGGCUCCACUCCGGACUGGCAAGAUGGACUCAUGACUCAACUGGUCUUGUGGCCCCCACCCAGAAGCAGACUUGGCACACAAGGACCAUUUUCCACACCCCUAUAAUUGCACUUCCAACCAAUCAGCCCCCUGUCUGACAAACUAUCCUUGAAAAACCCUAACUUCUGAGUUUUCAGGGAGAUUGAUUUGAGUAAUAAUUCAUCUCCCACGUGGCGUGGCCAGCCUCAUGUCAAUUAAACUCUUUCUUUCUUUUCGAGAUGGAGUCUCACUCCAUCACCCAGGCUGGAGUGCAGUGGCAUGAUCUUGGCUCACUGCAACCUCCACCUCCCAGGUUCAAAUGGUUCUCCUACCUCAGCCUCCUGAGUAGCUAGGACUACAGGCAUGCGCCACCAUGCCUGGCUAUUUUUUUUGAGACUGAGUCUCGCUCUGUCACCCAGGCUAGAGUGUAAUGGCAUGAUCUUGGAUUACUGCAACCUCUGCCUCCUGGGUUCAAGCGAUUCUCCCACCUCAGCCUCCCAAGUAGCUGGGAUUACAGGCACAUGCCAUCAUGCCCAGCUAAUUUUUGUAUUUUUGUAGAGACAGGAUUUCACCAUAUUGGCCAGGCUGGUCUUGAACUCCUGACCUCAGGUGAUCCACUUGCCUUGGCCUCUGACAUUGCUGGGAUUACAGGCAUGAGCCACCAUGUCCGGCCUUAAUUUUUUGUAUUUUUAGUAGAGACGGAGUUUCACCAUGUUGGCCAGGCUGGUCUUGAACUCCUGGCCUCAAGUGAUCCACCUGUCUCAGCCUCCCAAAGUGUUGGGAUUACAGAUGUGAGCCACCACACCCAGCCAAACUCUUUAUUGCAAUGCCAUGGUCUCAGUAAACUGAUUUUGUCUGUGCAGUGGGCAGGAAGUGUUACCAGCAGCAAAUCCAACGGGUCUAUACAGCAAACUCGAUUCUUGCCCCCUUGGAGGAAAGAACUUGGCCAAGGGGCAGAAGGCAGAGUGAGAGACCAAGGCAAGUUUUAGAACAGGAGUGAGAGUUUAUUUAAAAGUUUUAGAGCAGGAACUAAAGGAAGUAAAGUACACUUGGAAGAGGGUCAAGUGGGCAACUUGAGAGAUCCAAGUGUGCUGUUCAGCCCUUGACUUGUUUUAUACGCUGGCAUGGUUCUGAGAUUUCCAUUUCUCCUCUGUUUUUCCUUGGAGUGGGCUGUCUGCAUGCACCAUGGCCUGCCAGCACUUGGAUGAGGCUGCACGCACAGUGUGUUUACUGAAGUUAGGCACAUGCUCAUUUGAGGCAUUUUUCCCUUACCAGUCAAGCGUUCCUAGAGGAAUGUCAUACACCAGUUAAACUCCGCCAUUUUGCCUCUUAGUGCACAUACUUGAGCCCGUUUGCCUAACUCCUGAUAUCUUAUUUGGAAGUUGCUCAUUACCAGCUUCAGGUGUUUCUAUCCAUUGAGAGAUUGCCUUUCUCUGGUGCCAGCUGCGACCAAUUAUUAUUUUAGCAAGACAGUUUAACAACCACCUGACCAUCACCUGAUGGUUGCCUGGGGAUUUGGGGGCCUUCUCCUGCCCUGUUCAUGUCUGCCUAGCUACCUAUUCUAACAGAAGGACCCACUGGAUGAUUACAAUGUCUCUAAUAAAAAAAUAUCCCCACAAACUGCUAUUUGUAAAAUAUGUAAAAGUGUUUAUGUAAAAGUGUACGUAUGUAAAAGUGAACAUAUGAAUAGAAAAUGGAAAAGGAGUCUGGGCGAGGUGGCUCAUGCCUGUAAUCCCAGCACUUUGGGAGGCCAAGGCAGGAGGAUCACUUGAGGUCAGGAGUUCAAGAUCAGCCUGGCCAACAUGAUGAAACCCCAUCUCUACAAAAAUACAAAAAUUAGCUGGGCAUGAUGGUGUGUGCCUGUAAUCCCAGCUACUCAGGAGGCUGAGGCGGAGGUUGCAGUGAGCCGAGAUCGCACCAUUGCACUCCAGCCUGGGCGACAGAGCGAGACUCAAAAAACAAACAAACAAAAAGUGCUACUUGUUAAAACAUUUUAAAGGAUAAUUGAUCUGAAUUGCCCAUUGGAGAAAGAAUAUCCUCAAACAAAGCACAGUGGUGAAUAGUAUUUGCCUAUGUGUUCUGGUAAUUUUUCACCAGCUGAGCUAGUGUAAUCAUCUUGCUAAAGAAAAGUUCUACAGUUCUAAGUAAUCAUGUUGAUUUGAAAUACCACUUACGCAACAAAGUUGAAUUGUACAUCUUUUCUUCCCCCAGCAGAUGGUGACAUUUUAUAGAAUAUGGAAAAAUUAUCCAAAUGGAUGAGUGAGCUAUAUAACUGAAAUAUAAUCGUCUCUAUUUCAUUUCUCAUUUAUCUACAUCUUGAAUUCAUUUACAAAAAGGCAUUCAUCAGGAAGUAACAUUUAAAGACUAUGCUUUCAGGGGUCAUUUGUUUUUCUUUUCUUUUCUUUCUUUCUUUUUUUUUUUUUUUUUGACAGGGCCUCACUCUGUCAGCCAGGCUGGAGUGUAAUAGUGCCAUCAUGGCUCACUGCAGCCUUGACAUCCCAGGUUCAAGCAAUCUUCCCACCUCAGCCUCCUGAGUAGCUGGGACUACAGGCACACAGCAUCACACUGGGCUAUUUUUAAAAUUUUUCUGUAGAGACAGGGUCUCACUGUCUUGCCCAGGCUGGUCUCAAACUCCUGGGCUCAAGCAAUCCUUCCUCAGCCUCCCAAAAUUCUGGGAUUACAGGUGUGGGCCCCCAUGCCCAGCAAGGGAUCGUUUCUAUAGUUCCUUCCUAGGAAAGUUUCUCUGAACAUGUAGAGCAUGUUUUUUAAAAAGUAACAUUUAUGAAAAGAAGACUAAGAACAAUUAAAAAAUAACAUAUAGAAAGUAGAAUUUUUCAGGCCAGGCAUGUCAUGCCAGCACUGUACACCUGUAAUCCCAGCACUUUGGAGGCUGAGGUGGGCAGAUUACUUGAGGUCAGGAGUUCGAGGCCAGCCUGGCCAACAUGGUGAAACCCUAUCUCUACUAAAAAAAUACAAAAAUUAGCCGGGCAUGGUGGCAGGUGCCUGUAAUCCCAGCUACUUGGGAGACUGAGGCAGGAGAACCGCUUGAACCUGGGAGGUGGAGGUUGCAGUGAGCCGAGAUCGCACCACUGCACUCCAGUCUGGGCGACAGAGCAAGACUAUGUCUCAAAAAAAAAAAAAAAAGAAUUUUUCAAUGUCUUCAAUUCUUAGUUUGCACAGUGUUUUUACUAGAUAUUUUCUCAUCAGGUCACAUCAGCCUACCUAUUUACAAAAAUAAAAUAGUAAGGACAAAAUGCUAAAGAGGGCAAAUCUGUCUUUAAUUAAUGUCCAUCUCAGGCCAGGCAUGGUGGCUUACACAUGUCAUCCCGGCACUUUGGGAGGCUGAGGUGGGAGGGUAGCUUGAGCCCAGGAGUUCAAGACCAGCCUGGACAGCAUAGUGAGACCCUGUCUCUAAGAAAAUGUCCACCUUUGAUUUCUCUUCACUCCUUUUUUCCAUGCAGGGCCUUCACUCUUCUGUUUCUCAAAUUCCUUCUUUAGUAUUAUUUCUUCCUUCCUUUAAGCUUCACACAGUAAAGUUUGCUUCCCUACUUUCUAACCGAGAGUAUAGCAUAUAAUUAAAAUUCAUUCUUAGGUAUAUGUAAUUAGUAUUCUCAGCUUAAUGUGCCAAUUAUACCAGGGAUAUUUCAUUCACUAGUUCAAACGGAACAUCAAUUGGAGAUCUCUCAUCUUUCAGAUAUUCUUGCUGAGCUCACAGUCCAUCCAGAAAGAGAAACAAAUUCAUAACACUAAUGUAAGAGGUUUUCUUUCUUUUUGAGACGGAGUCUCACUCUGUCCCCCAGGCUGGAGUGCAGUGGUGCAAUCUCAGCCUGCCGCAACCUCUGCCUCCUGGGUUCAAGCGAUUCUCCUGCCUCAGCCUCCCGAGUAGCUGGGAUUAUAGGCACCCACCACCAAGCCUGGCUAAUUUUUUUAUAUUUCUAAUAGAGAUGGGGUUUCACCAUGUUGGCCAGGCUGGUCUUGAACUCCUUACCUCAAGUAAUCCACCCACCUCAGCCUCCCAAAGUGCUGGCAUUACAGGCAUGAGCCACUGUGCCUGGCCAUAGGAGAUGUUUUAAUGCAGCUGUGUACAAGGUGGAAACCUAGAAAAUGAAUCAUUAAUUCUGUUGAAUGAACUUUAUAUGUGAGCUUCAAAUUUAAGUGAGAUAUGACAGACUGAAAUGUGAACAAAAGGUAUUUUAGGCAGAUGGAACAACUUGAGCUCAGAUAUAGAAGCAUCAAACUGUUCAGCAUUUUUGUGAAACCCAGAAAAUUCUGACUAGAACUCACAGUAUUAAACAGUCAGUGUGCCAACAGAAUUGGGAUACAGGACGGAGGAGGAAGAGAGAGGAAGCAGUGGAAAGAGACUGCAGAGGUAGAUGAGAGCCAGACUGGGAAAAUCCUUAGAAGGCAGGCCAAGGAAUAAGGACAGCACUGUAAAAACCCUUAUGAGGUGUCCUAAGGAGUGUGGACUUGAUUCUGCUGGCCCCAGAUAGCCUUCUUAAGAAGGUGUGGAGAUGGUAGAGGAUGGAAGCAGAAAGACCAAUUAAGAGAUGAUGGAUCACACAAAGCUAGAGAGGAAAAGCACAAUGUGGAUUGAUGAAUGGUGGCGUCUUGUUGGGGGGAGAGUUAAUGAUGGAGGCAUAUUUAAGAGAUAUUUGCAUGGUAGACUUAUGGGGCUAGGAUGUCUGAUUGGAUGUGGUGCCCGAGAAAGGGAGAGGCAUGCCCAAAGAUGACUGUGGGGUUUCUAAUUCUGGCAUCUUGCUGUGUAAUAAUAACAUUCAAAACAGAAAUUCAUGAGGAAUAGCAGAUUUGUAGAGGAUUUGCUUGGGGACAAGAUGAAUGUGGGGCACCUGGGUUGGGGGGACAUCAGGUAGAGGUGCUGAGACAGAAUUGAAAACAUGAGACUAACUGGAGUUCAGGAGAUAAAUCUGGAGAUGAUUUUUCUUUGGGUGGGGGAGGGACAGAGUUUCACUCUUGUCACCCAGGCCAGAGUGCAAUGGCGUGAUCUUGGCUCACUGCAACCUCCGCCUCCUGGGUUCAGGCGAUUCUCCUGCUUCAGCCUCUCGAGUAGCUGGGAUUACAGGCAGGCACCACCACGCCCAGCUAAUUUUUGUAUUUUUAGUGGAAACGGGGUUUCACCAUGUUGGCCAGGCUGGUCUCGAACUCGUGACCUCAGGUGAUCCACCUGCCUCGGCCUCUCAAAGUGCUGAGAUUACAGGCAUGAGCCACCAUGCCCAGCCUGGAGAUGAUAUUUAAGAGUGAAUAAUGUAAACUUGUUGGGAGAAGCCAUGGGAAUUGAAAAUCUCAGGUGGUUGAGUACAAGAAGAGGGGGCCCAACAUGGAACCUUGGAUUCCCAAUAUUUUAGGUUAGGUAGAGGCUAUGAAGAGGAUUAAGGAGGAGCAAGAAAUGAAGCGAUGUUUAAGUACAAAAGAUGGUGAGAAACUCCUCUCACAGCACAACUUGUAUACUCAUGGGAGAUGGAGUGGUAUACAGUGAUAUCCUAACAAUCUCUCUAGAGUAAUCCUUGCCCCACUUUGACCAGAGCUUGGAAGCCUGUCCAGUCUUCACAUUAGAAAGUCAACAUUUUAAGAAUGUGAAGAAGUAAGAGUGUUAUAAAAGAUGCCUGACCUACACCAUGUAAUUAAUUUUCCUUUUUGUUAAGAAAAUGUUGAAAUUAGCAAACGUGGCUGGGGGCGGUGGCGCACACCUGUAAUCCCAGCACUUUGGGAAGCUAAGGCAGGAGGAUUGCUUAAGCCCAGGAGUUCAAGACCAGCCUGGGCAACAUAGUGAGACCCGCAUCUCUACAAAAAUAAACAAAAUUAGCCGGGUGUGUUGGCACAUGCCUGUGGUCCCAGCUACUUGGGAGGCUGAGGUGGGAGGAUCGCUUGAGCCCCAGAGAUUGGGGGCUGCAGUGAGCUAUGAUUGCCGCCACUGCACUCCAGUCUGGGCUUCAGAAUGAGUACCCAUCUCUUAAAAAAAAAAUACUAAAACUAAGUUCUAUUACAAUUUAUGUUUUACUUCUCAUAAAAUAAAUUAUACAUAUUAUCACAAGGAAGAAAAAUGUGUAAAAUUAGAAAAAAUUCCUGUGAGAAGCCACUCUUUGCCCAGAAAAUAUGUUUGUUUAUUGAUUUAUGUUUUUAUUAGAAAACUCAAAAGGACCUGGUAAGUGUUCUGCCACUGGAUUUCAACAGGAAAUCACCAUUUCUGCCCUCUGGGAGGUAGUAAAAAAGAUUGGAAUACCUCCUCUUUUGAAGAGGUCAGGAAGUGUGGUAGAUGCUGUCCAGAUUCUCCUUCUGGAAUAAAGGAAGUAUUCUCCAGCUGCUGGGAGCGGUGCCCACAGAAAACCCUCAGCUGUCAGCAACUUCAGUGAUUGCCUUGGCUAAAAAGAGCUGCCUCACCCAAAGUUGCAUCCUUCUAGGGGUCAGCCUGCAUCUAAUAGCUGAAAAACAGGGGGCCCAGCCCUCUCCCCUCAACAAGCGACAACUCCGAAUAACCACCUCAUCUUCAAAGAUCACCAUGUGGUAGACCAAGAGAGACAAUGUUGGGCUUGUGCUGCCACCUGACUUGCCCCUCUGCCCAAUCCUACAUCCUUCCCUUCCCUUCAAUAGAUGUUGAUCUCAAGGGCCCUCUCUAAUAAAUCUCCUGGGUGCAGAGUUUGAAACCAGCCUAGCCAACAUGGUGAAACCUCAUCUCUACUAAAAAUACAAAAAUUAGCCAG
This 11936-nucleotide long non-coding RNA is filed under the name Homo sapiens (human). Its description in RNAcentral is "non-protein coding ZNF674-AS1:10". Lineage: Eukaryota; Metazoa; Chordata; Mammalia; Primates; Hominidae. The record is from RNAcentral.